Meriones unguiculatus (Mongolian gerbil) is the source of this 405-nucleotide long non-coding RNA. RefSeq lists it as uncharacterized. The record is from RefSeq and is a predicted model, not a curated record. The transcript is spliced from 3 exons. Lineage: Eukaryota; Metazoa; Chordata; Mammalia; Rodentia; Muridae.
ACUCCGCUCUACCGGGCGCCAGGAUCCCUACCUACCUCCAACAGAGCUGGGCCCUCAGCCUGGAAGCCGCAUGCAUCUCCUGCCCAGCGAACCCACUCUCAGGCAGCAAGCAGGGGCAGAAGUACAGGUGGAUGCUGCCUUCAGGUUUCCCUUUCUUCUGUGGACGACAGGACAAAGCCAGAACCUUUGACAGGAGGGACCACGGAAGUGGAGAUGCAGUCUGGCUUGGGUCACCUAAACUGCCCAGCAGGAACAGGCCAAGCCACUUUGGCCUGGAAAGGCUACAGAGGCUAUUCUAGACCAUUGAACGAUCCAGCAAACCCGGGCAAGUCUGAGAGGAUCGGUGGAAGAGUCGACUCCUGCAAUCUGCCUUGUCUUCCAUGGAUGCCUCACUAUCAACACACA